CAGCAGUGAGGAAUAUUGGUCAAUGGCCUAACGGCUGAACUGGCAACUUGGAGAAGUGGCAAGUCUUCCAGUAUGGGGAGCAAACAGCUAUGGGUCAAGCCCGAUACCUUUAAGAGAAGUCUUAUUGUGAGGGCGAGUUGUAAAACACCAUAGGGCUGGCCGUCCCAUAUGAAAAGAUUUUAUUAGAAUUGAAUGAAACUUUGUUUAUAUAUUGAUAAUGACAGUAUAUAUAUCGUGUCUUGACUAAUUGCGUGCCAGCAGUCGCGGUAAUACGUAAGAGACUAGUGUUAUUCAUCUUAAUUAGGUUUAAAGGGUACCCAGACGGUCAGUAUAGCUUAUAAAAUGUUAGUACCUGACUAGAGUUUUAUGUAAGAGGGCAGUACUUGAGGAGGAGAGAUGAAAUUUCGUGAUACCAAAGGGACUCUGUAAAGGCGAAGGCAGCCCUCUAUGUAAAAACUGACGUUGAAGGACGAAGGCACAGAGAACAAACAGGAUUAGAUACCCAAGUAGUCUUUGCAGUAAAUGAUGAAUGCCAUAGGUUAGAUAAAAAAUUUCUUAGGAGGUCGCCUCCUCAGACAAAAAAAAAUGGUGUUAUCAUUUUACUUAUUUUCUAAAUAAGGUUUGUUUUUAACUAUCUCCAGAAAUUUUUGUUUAUCUGGUCUAUAAAUGAAAGUGUAAGCAUUUCACCUCAAGAGUAAUGUGGCAACGCAGGAACUGAAAUCACUAGACCGUUUCUGACACCAGUAGUGAAGUAUGUUAUUUAAUUCGAUGAUCCGC
This 777-nucleotide ribosomal RNA is filed under the name Fusarium equiseti. RNAcentral's name for it is "SSU rRNA". It matches the Rfam family "Bacterial small subunit ribosomal RNA", at positions 349 to 962 of the family's 1533-position model. Lineage: Eukaryota; Fungi; Ascomycota; Sordariomycetes; Hypocreales; Nectriaceae. The record is from RNAcentral.